GUUGUUGUUUUGGUUUCGUUUUUGUGUUAGUCUUCGGAGAAACUGUAGGUACUCUCUGCAUUCAAGGUUUUGAGGAUGGGCCUUUCUCUGAGGUGCUCGUGGCAACUAAGAUGGGGACUCCAGUUUUUCGAAAAUGUGGCAACUACACAAAUUUCCAGGUUUGGAAGCUUGGAAUCGGUGUUUCCUCAUCAGAGAUCUCCCGGUUAAAUGGCUAAAAUGUGUG
This 223-nucleotide long non-coding RNA is filed under the name Brassica napus (rape). RNAcentral describes it as "long non-coding RNA (BNAP_LNC016301)". Lineage: Eukaryota; Viridiplantae; Streptophyta; Magnoliopsida; Brassicales; Brassicaceae. The record is from RNAcentral.